CCUAUUACUUUUACCCACUAGCUGGGAACUUUGUGUGUAUUGCAAGCAUGUGUGCAUUGCUGUAAGACAGACAGAAAAAGCACUGUCCCUAAUGCAAGCAAGUAAGCACAAAUAGGGCAUGUAAAAAUAUGACUAUACCCAGAGGGACCUCUCCUCUACGUGAUGUAUUUAUUCCAAUAUUUGCAGAUGACUGAAACCAGUUAAGUGCUGUGGCAAUUGCUUAUUUCCCUUUGUCAGGAUGAUGAAUGUGGUGGCACCUAUCGGACUGCGCAGGGGGUUCCAAACUCCUCUGACAAAGAAGGAUUGUCCAUUUGUGCAAUGGACAGAGCACAUCAAAAAAGGCAUCGUCACAUGCAUACACCGAAGACCCGACGCCACCCGACGUUAGCUGAUAGGUCCACAAAUGUCUGUGAGGAAUCCGAGUAUGGGCUAGAUUUGCAGCAGCACAGUCACCCUCACAUGGCGAGAGUAAGGACCUGAAGAUUCAAGUCAGAUUUACAGAGAACUGUGAAAACAAAUGACGCGAUCUCCUGCCAGACAUGAUCGUUACAGGUUUUUGUUGUUGCUGUUGCUA
This is a long non-coding RNA of Oreochromis niloticus (Nile tilapia), 574 nucleotides long. RefSeq lists it as uncharacterized. The transcript is spliced from 3 exons. NCBI's taxonomy places the organism in Eukaryota, Metazoa, Chordata, Actinopteri, Cichliformes, Cichlidae. The record is from RefSeq and is a predicted model, not a curated record.